RNAcentral lists this transfer RNA (66 nucleotides) under Parathyginus sp. Its description in RNAcentral is "tRNA-Glu". The record is from RNAcentral. Lineage: Eukaryota; Metazoa; Arthropoda; Insecta; Hemiptera; Heterogastridae.
ACUUAUAUAGUUUAAAUAAAACAUAUCAUUUUCAGUGAUAAAACAAGAACUUAAUCUUUAUAAGUA